GUGGGGAAUCUUGCGCAAUGGGCGAAAGCCUGACGCAGCCAUGCCGCGUGAAUGAUGAAGGUCUUAGGAUUGUAAAAUUCUUUCACCGGGGACGAUAAUGACGGUACCCGGAGAAGAAGCUCCGGCUAACUUCGUGCCAGCAGCCGCGGUAAUACGAAGGGGGCUAGCGUUGCUCGGAAUUACUGGGCGUAAAGGGCGCGUAGGCGGACAGCUUAGUCAGAGGUGAAAGCCCAGGGCUCAACCUUGGAAUUGCCUUUGAUACUGGCUGUCUUGAGUUUGGGAGAGGAGAGUGGAACUCCGAGUGUAGAGGUGAAAUUCGUAGAUAUUCGGAAGAACACCAGUGGCGAAGGCGACUCACUGGCCCAAUACUGACGCUGAGGCGCGAAAGCGUGGGGAGCAAACAGGUUUAGAUACCCUUGUAGUCC
RNAcentral lists this ribosomal RNA (425 nucleotides) under uncultured bacterium. RNAcentral's name for it is "partial 16S ribosomal RNA". It matches the Rfam family "Bacterial small subunit ribosomal RNA", at positions 354 to 796 of the family's 1533-position model. The record is from RNAcentral.